Long non-coding RNA from Acipenser ruthenus (sterlet), 3488 nucleotides. RefSeq lists it as uncharacterized. NCBI's taxonomy places the organism in Eukaryota, Metazoa, Chordata, Actinopteri, Acipenseriformes, Acipenseridae. The transcript has 10 exons. The record is from RefSeq and is a predicted model, not a curated record.
UUUUCCCUUCCUAAAAAAAUGAAUUGAUAAAAAAAAUAAACUGUGGAUAAAUACAAUCAUUACAGUUAUUGUGCUUCAGUUAAUCAAAAACUAGGAUUAAUGAAAAUCAUUAAAAGUCCUUCUUUUCUCUAAAAUGAGAUGUACCUGUAUCAUUUGAUCCAUCAGUUGACAAGGUGUAUGGCCUGUUUCUCAUCUUUUUGACCAGCUCAUCAUGAAGGUAUGGUGCUAUAGCCCUGUUGAUAAUACAAGUAGUCUUGGUCCUUGCAGCACCAUAUCUCUGUGCCACAUCUGAAUCCUUAAAACACUCUUUCAUCAGUGGGCUGAAGUGGUCAGCAACUGCAAGGGGGACAUUGUGAUUUACCAUCGUCACAGCAACUUUGAUCUCAGCUCGUCGUGCCUGAAAACAAAGUAUAAAAAAAGAAUACUUUUACAGUCAGAACAAAAAGCUGUUUCUGUGGUUAGUCUUCCAGUGUAACAAAUGGGAAAAGUACCAGUCAAAUGUCUUUGCCAAUAUCUUCUGUACAAGAAGAAAAUAAUUUGGGAAAAACAAAAUGUUAAAGAAGUUAUUCAUUCAUACCUUUGCCUCAAGUUGUGUCAUGUUAUCCACCUUUGGAGCUGUGUUCACUGUAAAUUUGGUAAUUUGCUGCGAUUGCUCCACUGCCUUGACCUUCCUCUGGUAUGACUCGCUCUCUAUGUGACGCUCCACAUCUGCAUGGCCCAUAUGGUAACAAACAUUCUCAGUUCUGCAAAUCUCACACCAAAAAUGAUGCUGCGUGAGUACCUUCUUAAUAAAGGGCCAUUCUGUUGUCCACCCAGGCUUGAAUUUGGACUGUACUUCAUUGCUUUUAAAUGUUUUCAGAAUUGUGUGUGUGGCUACUGAUGCCAGUGGAAGUAUGGAGUCCUACGUGGGACAGCUAAACUCAGAUGUGAACCUGGAACUCCAGGCAGAAGUGUGAGGAUAGGGUACCGCCCUUAGCACCAGGAGUGCAGCUGCUUCCUAUACACCCUUUAAAUGCCACACUGGAGCCCCUACAAAAUAUAAUCCUGGAUGGGCAACUGGAGUCAAAGGACCCUGACACAGAGGAGCCGAAGAAAAGGAAAGGUGGUUGGCCGAAAGGAAAGAAAAGAAAACCGACCAAGGAAUUUUCUGCUCCUCGCCCUCCUACUACAGGAUAUGUAAUAUUUGUCAAUGAAAGUCCAUCUGAAGGCCGAACACUGAUAUUCCCUUUAUUGAAAUCACCAAGAUGUUGGGCACUCUGUGGUCUCAACUAUCCCAGGACGAAAAACAGAAGUACAAUGAUGCCGCAGAGAAAGACAAGCAGCGCUUCAUCGAGGAGCUGAAGGCCUAUCAGAACUCCGAGGCGUACAAGGCCUUUCUGAAAAGAAAAGCUCUUCAUAAAGUGAAGCUCCUCUGAGGUGUUGAAAUGGUGGAUGCUGAGUUUGAAAAUGAGAUUGUUGCUCUGCCACAUAUGGAUGGGGUGACACCAGUGACUUGUACUGCAGGACGUGCAAUCAGUAUUUCAGCUCUCUGCAUAAUAAGAAGGAGCAUCUCCUGGGGAAGCAGCAUUUACAGAAUCUGACAGAGGAGUUUGAGAAGGAGACUGUGGGGCUGUGUAAGGAGCAGCAGCAGCAGGAGGUUGAGGAGAUGCUGGAAGCGAGGGACAAAGACCUGGAGGAGGAAGAUGAUGAAGAGGAAGCUGCAGUGGCAGAGCAGGACCAGCUUUGUGGACUUGCUUCCCAGUACAGCUUCACCUCACUGGACCCCGGCUUCCUGCAGGAGUUCAUGUUCAGACAGAUGACGUUGAGACAAUUUGAACUCCGUGAAUUAAACACUAGCUUGGAAAAAGCUAUGGAAAAGCAUGACAAUUUAAAAAGGCAACUGGAAGAGCUGCAGGCUUGGACAGACGCUGUGAUGCUACAACAGAUUGAAUUCAGGAAGAAGAGGAAGGCUGGCACCUUACAUUGCAAAAGGUUUUAGGAAAAGAAUGUAGGAGCCCCGAGAUGGGGGACUGGUUAGCUUUUGACAUAUCUUAUUUGCCUGACUGUCUUUAGAUGUGUUUUGCCCUAGAAGUCAACCUGAGAAUCACCCCACAAAUACUGCUGAUGCAGACUACAGGCCCUGCUAAUACCUCUAACAGCACUCGUAUGUCAUCCAGCUGCUAAUGGCUGAUGCAUUACAUGUGUAGCAGUUUUGAAUGUGUUAAUUUAGUAUAUAUUUAUCACGUGCUCUGUAAGAGAGAGUAUUUUUUGCACUUUAUGCGACAUUAUAAAUAGUAUAUGUCUUUUGUUAAUUGGAGUUUGGUUGAAAAGCACUGUGUAUUGUUGAUGUCAACCAGUAUUUGAAGGAGCUGCUUGGUUGUUUUCUAUGUCUUGGUAAUGCCCAAUGCGUGGCCCUUUAUAACCCACUGUAGAAUGUUCACAAGACAUUCACCCCUGCAAGUUUACACCAUUUUUUGUGACAGGGAAAAACAAACUACUAGAGAUGUCCAAUUAAACAACUGGUGUUAACAUGUAAGCACUGGGGUAAAUGCCUUGUGAAUAUGACCCAUUCAAGCCAGUCUUAAAUGACCAUAGUUGCAUAAGUAAUUUAUGUUGUGUUGCAGGGAUCUGUUGCCAUUUUCAUUUCUCUGAUACUAGAAAAGAACAAUUUGGCAUUGAUGGGGCCUCUUUAAUACAUUAAUCUAACUGCUCCUACCAACACCAAAGUUUUUUGUUUUGUAAAACAGCCAAUUUGUAAUCAUUAGCAAUCAAGUGAUGUAGUAUUAGAAACUCAGAAUUGGAAAAUAUACAGUGAAGAAUGCCUGAUGAGUCAUGAAGAAUUAUGUCAGGAGUUUGCAUGGCUCACUACAUAUAAUUCAGGGCAGUGAUUAGGCACACAGCUGGGAUUUAUUAUACUAUUCAUAUAGGGCAGCAUUGUGAACAAAAUAACUGGGGAAAGAGAAAAGGCAGCUCCAUGGUCAGUGAGAUACAGUACUUGGGGGUUUUAGCCACUGGUUCAGCUCCAGUCGUCCAUUAGAGCCCAACGGUGCCUAGAAAGGGGCUUAUUGAAAUAAGUUCUGGUGGCCUCAGCCCAUUGACAAGUGAAAACCAAAAUACCCAAUUACCCUCCAAGAGGUGGUUCUUUUUCAAGGUGGGGCUGUGGCACAUUGGAGUUACUGCAUGGAUACAAAGAAUUCACCUAUUCCCAUGAAAUAUGAGAUUUACAUUUGAACCGCUGAAGAGGAGUAGGGGCUGGGAUUUGAAAAUAAGGGUUUGGGAACAUUUGGUUUUGUGCAGUAGGUGGACUACAGUUCUUAACAGGAGGCUGUGACAUUGGAAAGAAUGACAGUGGGUAAUAUGUCUUCGCUUAUUGUAUUCAGCUUAAUAGUAGACAUUGUGUCCUACUUAGUUACUAAGCUUAUUGGAGCUUUCCAAACAGUAGAUUUUGGGUAUGUCAUCUAAUUGACGCAGACUGUGCAAUAUUAACAAUUUCUAAAAAGAGCAUUUUU